This 66-nucleotide transfer RNA is filed under the name Dausara latiterminalis. RNAcentral's name for it is "tRNA-Glu". Lineage: Eukaryota; Metazoa; Arthropoda; Insecta; Lepidoptera; Crambidae. The record is from RNAcentral.
AUUUAUAUAGUUUAUACAAAACAUUGCAUUUUCAUUGCAAAAAUAAAAACUUUUUUUUUAUAAAUA